AGAUAAAAAAAGACCGAAGACGAUUCCUGUCUCCGGUCCAGGGAAAUGGCUCCGUAAAGAGCCGUGCGCUAAAAGUUGGCAUUUGUGCAGGUCGUAUCACCCUGCCCUUUAAAGAUAGUCGGGCAAUACGGAUUUUCCAGCCG
This 143-nucleotide small RNA is filed under the name Erwinia mallotivora. The record is from RNAcentral. Lineage: Bacteria; Pseudomonadati; Pseudomonadota; Gammaproteobacteria; Enterobacterales; Erwiniaceae.